Molecule: long non-coding RNA, 415 nt
Filed under: Equus caballus (horse)
Lineage: Eukaryota; Metazoa; Chordata; Mammalia; Perissodactyla; Equidae
Description: lncRNA (ENSECAG00000053322.1)
Source: RNAcentral
CAAUAAUGGCCUCUUCCCACUACCUGGUGACGGCUAGCACAAUCCAGGGAGACAUUGGCUGUGAGGUCUGGGAUGAACCACCAAGCGCUCCACGUUAAUUAUUAUUAUUACCUCUGCCUGACUGACGAAAGAAGCGGGGAAGGAUGCCACAGGAUCAGACAGGCCUGUGGAGAUCAGGAUCGAAACUACAUUUCCAAGGCCCUCUGCAGUUAGGUUAACACAGUGAUCUAAUUCAGACUAAUGGAAAAUGCUGUGUGCCACUUCCGGGCCUGGCACAUGCAAAUCUCUUCUGUGUGACCUUCCAUUCUUUACCUGACCUGCGGAGACCUUGGAGGCCACACACUGAAGAUGGCAGCUCCAUCUGAUGGAAGGAGCCUGGAAUGACUCCACGAUGACUGCAUGGAGUGGAAGGCCC